GAACCCCACUUCUGUGCCAUGCACUUUACCAGGUGCUCAGUAAACACAUUAAUAAAGCAGGCAUGGUUUAUCCCGAGACGACAUGCACUGAGAGGACGUUUCUGUUUUCCAACAGGAGCACAGUUCAGCACAGCACUGGUUCAGCAUGGGCCAAUUCCUUGCCCUGACAUUGUAGGACAUUGUGAAGCCUCCACCUGGGUCACAAUGACCCUCGGUACCUGUUAAUGUAUGCACCUUCAUCAUGAACCCGGAGUAUUAAACAACAAAUGAGGCUUCCUGCAGUCACUAAGGAUCACGAUUCUAAAUAAAUCUGAGAAGCUCAGCAAUAGAGGUCGCCCCCUCCCCCGGGCGGAGUCCUUGAUAUCUGAAACAAGGCUUCACAUCAUCUGGCAUUAAACUAUGGGGCUGCUUGAAGGCAGAAUUUGUCUUAUUCUGAUGUAGGAUGACCAAAACAUCUGGAGAAACAAAUUGGGGUGAGCCCUCUCCAAGCGUGUUAAUAAAAUACUAGUUGUCAGCAUAAGACAGACAACAAGGCAAGGUCAGUAAGGCCUGGGGCUUAAUUGAUUUGUCUUCCAGGAAAUUAAGGGAGUGAGCACAGGGACUCACACCCAGAUAUCAGGUGGAACAGUCAUUAAAAGCCUAUUAGAGGAACCGAUCCAGUCAAAAGACCUAAAAUAAGCAAAGAAAGAGGAUAUUUCUUCACCACAAGCUCUAUCUCAAUCUGCUUCUUCAUACAAACAUCCUUUUUGUUUUACUGUGCCCAAAAUAAUUAAUAUACUAGGACAACUUGAAGUGCAAAAACUCCUGUGUCUGAAGUGAGAGGCUACUGUACAGAUAAGGGAAAGUCAAGUUCUCAAACUCUAGAUUCUAGAACCUAGAAGACUGAAAGGGAUUUCUUCUCUAGGCACAAGGUUUAUUCUAGGUGAGAUGUUAGAAUCCAUAUGAUUGCCGAGUGUGGUGGCUCAUACCUGUAAUCCCAGCACUUUGGGAGGCCAAGGCAGGAGGAUUGCUUGAGCCCAGGAGUUCAAGACCAGCCUGAGCAACAUGGCAAGACCCUGUCUCUACAAAAAAAAAAAAAACAUUAAAAAAUAGCCUGGCAGGGUGGUGCAUGCCUGUGAUUCCAUCUACUCAGGAGGCUGAGGCGGGAGGAUUAUUUGAGCCCAAGAGGUAAUGGUUGCAGUGAGCCAUAAUCACAUGAUUGCACUCAGCCUGGGCAAUAGGGCAAGAUCCUGUCUCAAAAAAAAAAAAAAAUUAGAAUGUGUUUUAUAAUGUCUCAAUAUCUGGAAAUGUGUGGCAGAGAUAGAAACAUACAUAUAUCAGUGAGAUUUUUAUUUCUCAGAUUCACCCACAGCUAAACUGGGGGUCAUGUGACUCACUCUGGGAAAGCAAGUGAUGCCUAUCACUUCUGGAAUGAGGUAUUUAAAAGCUGAUGUACUUUUUUAUCUCUCUCUCUUUUCCCUUGCUACAAAGACCCAGAAGCCACUUGCUCCACAUCUGCAGUUACAAGGCAGAACAAAUUUGCCAGAACCAAGCUACAGAUGGGGAAACUGAGGCCUGGAGUAACCAGUCAUAUUGCUUCCAUGCUGGGAACUCUCCAAUGACAUAUCGCACAAUACAGAGCCAACCUCAAGUUCCCCACCAUAGACCACAAGGACUUGCAAGUUCUAACCUUGCCCAAUCUCCCUUAUACGCCCUCAGUCCAUGUGCCUCUGUGAUGAUGGAUUGGGUCCUUCUUGGCUUCCUCCAAAGGGGCAGAACUGCUCUGGAAGGUUCCUCAUGGCAUUGGCAAUGAUCUUAUUCUAUGCUGCUUAAAGAGAUUAAAUUGACUUUGCUCUUGUUACAUAAUUAAUGGUUAAGAAUAAAAUUCUGAACAUUUUCAAGGAAACUUUUAAUCCUAAAGCAGGUUUUGUAUGCCUAAGCUUUGGUAUGUUUUCCCACUCAACACUCAGAAAUAAGCAGGGAACUUUCUAAAAUAAAUAACUGUUAUUCUUUUUCCCCCAGGACUUACAUUUUAUCUAUAAAUGCAUUUGUCUUUUAGUUUAGUUUAUUUAGGUAGAAUUAAAGUAGUUUUAACUUAGUUUUCCCAAUGAAAUUAGAUUUUA
Molecule: long non-coding RNA, 2102 nt
Filed under: Homo sapiens (human)
Lineage: Eukaryota; Metazoa; Chordata; Mammalia; Primates; Hominidae
Description: HSALNT0196842
Source: RNAcentral